This 17-nucleotide small RNA is filed under the name Arabidopsis thaliana (thale cress). Its description in RNAcentral is "ATSL126490". The record is from RNAcentral. Lineage: Eukaryota; Viridiplantae; Streptophyta; Magnoliopsida; Brassicales; Brassicaceae.
AAAAAAACAACAAAAAC